GAAAUGCGAUACUUGGUGUGAAUUGCAGAAUCCCGUGAACCAUCGAGUCUUUGAACGCAAGUUGCGCCUGAAGCCACUAGGCCGAGGGCACGUCUGCCUGGGCGUCACGCAUCGCGUCUCCCCCCACCCACCUUCGGAUGGGAAAGUGGGAGGAUGAUGGCUUCCCAUGCCUCACCGGGCAUGGCUGGCCUAAAUAAGGAGCCUCGGGUUACGAUCUGCCGCGGCUAUAGGUGGUACCACAAGGCUUUGCCUCGAAGUAUCGUGUCGUGCAGUACGUAAUUCGCAUAGGCUUGCAGGACCCUAACUUUGCCCCUCAAGGGGACAAACCGUUGCGACCCCAGGUCAGGCGGGGUUACCCGCUGAGUUUAA
This 369-nucleotide unclassified non-coding RNA is filed under the name uncultured fungus. RNAcentral's name for it is "sequence contains ITS1". The stretch from base 1 to 107 matches the Rfam family "5.8S ribosomal RNA", at positions 50 to 154 of the family's 154-position model. The record is from RNAcentral. Lineage: Eukaryota; Fungi.